GAUGAACGCUAGCGGCAGGCCUAACACAUGCAAGUCGAGGGAGGAGCUUUCGGGCUUCGACCGGCGUACGGGUGCGUAACGCGUAUACAAUCUGCCUUUCACAUAGGGAUAGCCCGAAGAAAUUUGGAUUAAUACCUAAUGGUAUAUAGAGGUGGUAUCACCUUUAUAUUAAAGCUGAGGCGGUGAAAGAUGAGUAUGCGUUCUAUUAGCUAGUUGGAGAGGUAACGGCUCCCCAAGGCGACGAUAGAUAGGGGUUCUGAGAGGGAUAUCCCCCACACUGGUACUGAGAUACGGACCAGACUCCUACGGGAGGCAGCAGUGAGGAAUAUUGGACAAUGGUCGGAAGACUGAUCCAGCCAUGCCGCGUGCAGGAAGACGGCCUUAUGGGUGGUAAACUGCUUUUGCAGGGGAAGAAUAAGGACUACGCGUAGUUUGAUGACGGUACUCUGCGAAUAAGCAUCGGCUAACUCCGUG
Molecule: ribosomal RNA, 474 nt
Filed under: uncultured bacterium
Lineage: Bacteria
Description: partial 16S ribosomal RNA
Rfam family: Bacterial small subunit ribosomal RNA
Source: RNAcentral